GCCGCUUUAGCUCAGUUGGUAGAGCAGACGAUUCGUAAUCGUCAGGUCGAGUGUUCGAGUCACUCAAGCGGCACCA
Molecule: transfer RNA, 76 nt
Filed under: Betaproteobacteria bacterium CG2_30_68_42
Lineage: Bacteria; Pseudomonadati; Pseudomonadota; Betaproteobacteria
Also listed under: 1 other name
Description: tRNA-Thr
Rfam family: tRNA
About the family: Transfer RNA (tRNA) molecules are approximately 80 nucleotides in length. Their secondary structure includes four short double-helical elements and three loops (D, anti-codon, and T loops).
Source: RNAcentral